Molecule: ribosomal RNA, 280 nt
Filed under: uncultured bacterium
Lineage: Bacteria
Description: partial 16S ribosomal RNA
Rfam family: Bacterial small subunit ribosomal RNA
Source: RNAcentral
UGCCAGCCGCCGCGGUAAUACGGAGGGGGUUAGCGUUGUUCGGAAUUACUGGGCGUAAAGCGUACGUAGGCGGAUUAAUAAGUUAGAGGUGAAAUCCCAGGGACUCAACCCUGGAACUGCCUUUAAAACUGUUAGUCUUGAGAUCGAGAGAGGUGAGUGGAAUUCCAAGUGUAGAGGUGAAAUUCGUAGAUAUUUGGAGGAACACCAGUGGCGAAGGCGGCUCACUGGCUCGAUACUGACGCUGAGGUAAGAAAGGGUAGGGAGCAAACAGGACGAGAGC